RNAcentral lists this transfer RNA (69 nucleotides) under Eucnemidae sp. 4 ACP-2013. RNAcentral's name for it is "tRNA-Gln". Lineage: Eukaryota; Metazoa; Arthropoda; Insecta; Coleoptera; Eucnemidae. The record is from RNAcentral.
AUAUUUUAGUAUAAGAUGUAUUAUGAUUUUUGAUAUCAUAGGAGAUAAUUUAAAUUUAUCAAAUGUAAU